UGAGGAAUAUUGGGACAAUGGAUGGAAAUCUGAUCCAGCCAUGCCGCGUGCAGGAAGACGGUCCUAUGGAUUGUAAACUGCUUUAGCAUGGGAGCAAUAAGGUGUACGCGUACACCGAUGAGAGUACCAUGAGAAUAAGCACCGGCUAACUCCGUGCCAGCAGCCGCGGUAAUACGGAGGGUGCAAGCGUUAUCCGGAUUUAUGGGUUUAAAGGGUGCGUAGGCUGUAAGUCAAGUCAGCGGUGAAAAGUCGGGGCUAAACCUUGAGGGUGCCGUUGAAACGUG
RNAcentral lists this ribosomal RNA (284 nucleotides) under uncultured Rikenellaceae bacterium. RNAcentral's name for it is "partial 16S ribosomal RNA". It matches the Rfam family "Bacterial small subunit ribosomal RNA", at positions 355 to 635 of the family's 1533-position model. Lineage: Bacteria; Pseudomonadati; Bacteroidota; Bacteroidia; Bacteroidales; Rikenellaceae. The record is from RNAcentral.